RNAcentral lists this ribosomal RNA (483 nucleotides) under uncultured bacterium. RNAcentral describes it as "partial 16S ribosomal RNA". It matches the Rfam family "Bacterial small subunit ribosomal RNA", at positions 28 to 523 of the family's 1533-position model. The record is from RNAcentral.
GAUGAACGCUGGCGGCGUGCCUAAUACAUGCAAGUCGAGCGAACCACUUCGGUGGUGAGCGGCGAACGGGUGAGUAACACGUAGGUGAUCCGCCCAUCAGACGGGGACAACGAUUGGAAACGAUCGCUAAUACCGGAUAGGACGAAAGUUUAAAGGUGCUUCUGGCACCGCUGAUGGAUGAGCCUGCGGCGCAUUAGCUAGUUGGUAGGGUAAAGGCCUACCAAGGCGACGAUGCGUAGCCGACCUGAGAGGGUGAACGGCCACACUGGGACUGGGACACGGCCCAGACCCCUACGGGAGGCAGCAGUAGGGAAUCUUCGGCAAUGGGCGAAAGCCUGACCGAGCAACGCCGCGUGAAUGAUGAAGGCCUUCGGGUUGUAAAAUUCUGUUAUAAGGGAAGAACGACUUUAGUAGGAAAUGGCUAGAGUGUGACGGUACCUUAUGAGAAAGCCACGGCUAACUACGUGCCAGCCGCCGCAGUAA